CCUGGUCGUUGUUCCACACCGCCGGAAGAUGCUGCGGAAGAUACCUGCAAAGGGAAGUUCUGGCAUAAAUCGAUGGAUCGCUCCUUAGGCGGAAAGCUGGAAACCGGUUCUGUGUUUCGUCGGGACGACGCAGUGGCGAUCCAUCAUCGGCUUUCUGCCAGCAGAAACGAGAAUUAAUCGAAGCGACUUCGACAACUUCGCCGCGGCUUCCGGCAGUGAGAUCGUGAACAGCUGUUAAUACAUCCGCGCUCGAUCGCCACGCCGGUCGCUGUAAACCCACAACCACGACCACGAGCAAUCUCAUAGAUGCACCGAAAAACGGACAAGCGGACAAAAAGCUGACAGAACCAAUGUAACGACCAAUAAAACAUGACAAUCGCAAAAUUGCACGGGAACAAUCUGCUUUUAUCUCGUAAAUUGGGAAUGCAUGUUUCUUCCAUUCGCGCAGCUCUAAAUAAAUAUUGUAUAAUAAUUAUCUCGAAAUCAUUUCUCUCUUUACAGCAAGCUAAAAUGAUGCAGAAAUUUCCGAAAUAAUGAAAGCAACGUUGCAGUAAAUUUUUCCGCGUUUAUGAAACACAAUAGAGGUGCAAAAUUCGCGCGAUACCAGUUCGUGAUGCUUUCGUUGCACUUUUGUUACGUCGAGAAAAAUCGUUAUUGUGAGUUUUUCAAUACCGGUGCGAUAAAGUCAGCUAGUUUUGCAAUUUUCGACGGCAAUACGGUACAAACAAUGCCGAUUAAAUAUUUACAGAGAUGGCGAACGUUAAUACACCGCAGAACAGUGCUUAAACACCUUCAUUUUCCGGAUGAAUUGUUUAUUUUCUAUGCUUUGUCUGCAUGUACAGUUCUAUGCUCAAUUUUCUACAAAGUCCUGAAACACUCGGUGUCGCACUGCAGAUAAUUAAACUGCAGUUUGCCGUGUCGAUGAUUACGGCUCGUCGGAUUAAAUCCGUUUGCAUGCAAGGCUAAACAGGCCGGGUGACAAUGCACCCUAAUUACAGACCAACGACGAUUCACGUCGACACGGAUGAGCAUGAAAAGCGGAUUCGCGAUUACGGUUAUUAAGGAAAAUACACGUUUGUACACGUUCAUUAUCGUCCCGGCUUGUUCCACUUCUUCAUUAAUUCAAAGAUUUUAUCGUAUGCGGCGAGCUAACAAAAACGUACAAAUUAUUCUUCAACUCUCAGUAAGAUAAACAACAAGAGUUAUAAAUAUAUAAAGAGAGCAGACGUUGAUAUAAUAAUUUAUUGCAACGUUAUUUCUGAACAAGCCUCACCCGCUGCGCGUAUAUAUCGUUUAUCUUAUGAAACAGUUUUUGUGCUUAAUGAAAGUUCUUGACAGAGUUCCAUUCUAAAUGAAAUUCACCUGCUAUAAUCUGUAAUCUCCUUCUGACAGAGAUAACACGCUCGCGAGCAGACUUUACAAUGAAAGCUAUAUUAUUGUCGCGAGUUUCUUAAUGUUCUCGGAGCAAGAGAAACGCAAAUGAAGAUUAAGUGGCACAAAGUGUAACUUACGGCUUUCAGCUUUCUUGAGGCUAACAAGACGAGAGUAAUGGAAUUUCCUUAGGUUUCCCGAUCUUCUUCUGCCGUACUACUUUAUAGCAAGAACAAUGAUCAUCAACUACUGAAAGCUCUUUUCGCGUCGGUGUCGAAGGAAAGAUUACGAUGCAGGAAUUAAUGCAUCAGCUUAAACAAUGGGCGGUUUUGUGGACGUUAAACGUCCGUUAUAUUCAUCGGGCAGAGUUCGAUCACUCUAUUAGUGACGUAUAUCAGUGACAUCAUUUCUGGUCUUACAAUACAGUAUGAUCAAGUAUUGUUAUAUAUAUAAGCUUUUCUUCUCUAUCACUUUGACUAAUAGAGAAAUUCAUACGAUAAGUUGAAAUUAAAAAUAACAAAUAAAUAUAAUCUUUCUCUUUUCACAUGUCUUGUAUAAAUAUUAUUGCACAGAUGAGAUUCUUUUACUAAAUUUUUAUUUUAAUAAAUCCAUUACAAAUUCGGCAUUAGUUUACGCCGGCAGAUAUAUAUUGGUGCAAUAAAUUUCGCUUCAUAUCGCAUUCACCCCCCCCCCCCAAGCUAUAUAAAAACGAGGUGAAAAAUAAUUUUCAGUAAGGAAGGUCGCCGAAAAAGGCACCCAGGGGAAAUUAGAAUUCGGAACAGGCUGAUCAAUUUUCAUGAAUAUCGCUCUAUCCUGUUUGCCUUAUUGGAAGUUGAGAAGAAUAGAGAAAAGAUUCGACGCGAGCACAUAGAACGUGUACAAAAGACAAUUAUUUAUUAAGAGCUUCCUUUUAUCCCAUAAAAGUGAAAUACCGGCGUAAAAGAGUGACAUAAAAAUGAAACUUUUAGACGCGUGUUCUUCUGGAAACUAGAAGUCGUGAACUCUCUUUCCGGCUGCCGGCUGGAAACUAUUUCACGUCGAAGUUCAGAGAUAUUUGCUGGAGUUUGAAUGCGAGCUUCAUCUCGAGAUUAUUUUAAUCUCGAUGAAAGUAGGCAGCACACGCUCACUCAUUCAAUUUUAAGACAAAUUAUAAUGUAGGCUUCUCGAACCAACCAAGAAUUCCGUGAACACGUUUGAAGUUCAUGCUGAGAAAACGACGUUUUAAACUUUACUUGGUUAUUGUGACCUGGAACGCUACGCCAGUAAUAUUAUAACUAUAACUUUUCUCUAUGAGAUAAGCUGUCACUGGUCUCAAUAAAAGAUAAAAAUGGAACGAUUACAUAGCGAUAAAUAAAUUGUUUUGAAAAUUUGAUUCGUUCACUCGUUAUUCAUUUGAAUCAAACAGCGUUAAAAUGCAUUUGUUUCAAGAUAAAAAUAUUAGUGUCACACGGUAUACUGUAACUGUUUUUAAUCGAAACUUGAAGCAACCUAUAUUUUUUUGUUGAAUUAAUCAUACGUUAUAAUACCUAGUCUGUCAUCGCGUAUCCAAGACAAAAGAGCGAACGGUUUGUGUUCUCGUACAAAGUGCAAGAACAAAGUCCGCGAUGCAUUAAUCAUCAGGAAAACUUAUCGAAUCACAAAACACGUUAUGACAGUUCUCGUCGCAUUCCAGAACGAUACUUUCGAGCCGCAUUUGUACUACUUUCUUUGGAUAGUUAUCUGGAUUUUGCAAAAAGUGCGGUCCGUUACAGGCGGAUCGGCGAGCAUCGCGACACGUUCGUUCGUUCAUCGAUUACGCUGCUGCAUCGUCGCAGAUGAGACAGCCCGCGAUUUCUCUGACAUCCAUGCCGAGGAAGAGAGUCGUCGUUUCUAUCACCGUAGAAAUGACACGUACUGUGCUACAGCUAUGCUAAUGUAGAUAUGGCGAGGUAAGAGGAAGAACCCGGUUAGCGACCUCAUUCGCGAUUAACCUUCCCGCCCUGUUCACGAAACACACUCACAUGGACGUAUCAGAGGAAUUUUAUGACGAGGAAUAAUGAAUAUGGAAAGCGCGAGAAUUGUACGUAUAAAAAUUCGUGGCACCUUUUACGACGGACGACGAUAAUGAGGCACUCCACAGCUCCACGAUUGCUCGAGAUUCGUUAUCUAAGAAAUAUGCGCGCACUCUUAUUAUCUCUAUGGAUUAUUAUGUACGUAUAUCACUGGAUCGCCUGGCAAUCACGAGAAACGGAAAACUUCAACGAUCGUACACGUUCGAAGUUCCUGAUCGCGGCAAGAAACCGGACCGGUAUGAAGUAUCCCGGAAAGAGGAGAACGAUGAUGAUUAUUCAGCCGCGCUCAACUUACAGCGGCAAAUGUCGCAGUCACCGUUGUACUCGCCUCGGAAGGGAAAACGAGAACGGGCACGUUCCAAUUUAGCAAAUGGCGGGAAGAAAGACCUCUUUUUGCCAUCUUUGCGCGUUUUCUCACUCACGCAAGAUUCCCUGCGGGAUUAUCUGGAUCAUCGCGUUCUUAUCCGCGGAAGGAACACGUUUCCCUCCCCACGACAUUAAAAUCGCGUCGUAUGAAUUAAUCAGUUACAUGGCGAUUAUCCCAGAAUGUAAUUGAAACAGCUGCACGUUAUGCGAGACCAUGUAAUUUGUCGAAACACUCGUUCAGAAAAAUCAAAACGCUGUAUUCACGAAAAAACUGGAAAAAGCAGGCGUACAAAAGCCAAAUUUUUAUUGGGAUAGUGAAUUUUCAUCUCUGCGCUGUAGUCGCCGCUCGUGUGCGUUCGGCAACGGGUUGAAUGCAACGGCAGAACGCGAAAAGACUCGCGGAUCAUGUCAUUUGCAAAGGCUUUGUAGCUUCCGAGCCUUUUGUUCCGCGAGCUGGCAAUUCUCGGCGCGGCGUAAUCGGCGUGCGGGCUUUGACGCUGCAAUUCGGUCGAAAAGCGCGUGGCGCGUUUCCGUGGCACUAUGCGGUAUGCACGAUAACGCGAAAACACGGGAAACUGCCAGUUGCGCCUCAUGUCGAGAAAAUGCGAGUGAAGAAAGGUUGGUAACUGCAGUUGCGAGAAUUUCGUUUAACUUCGAGGAUGGUUCUUUUUUAUUUCAGAGCGGAAUUUUCACUCAAGAAUCUCUCAUCAGCAGAAAUAUUUAGAGUACCUCGCAGACGUAAAUCUUUCUUGAAUUUUCUGGUAUAUUGCGAGAAAAGCAUUCAGUGUUAUUUUUAUUUUAAAAAAUAAAACUUUGUUGAGAAAUUUAAUUUAAUGAUACUUUUUUAAUGAGACUUUUACACAUUAGUAAAACUUAUCGCAACGCACUGCAAUUGCGUUAUUCCUGUACGAUAAGCGAUGGCUGAAAGAGUAGCGCAACCACAGGAGAAAGUCGGAACAAACAUGCCCAUUAUUCUCAGUUUUGUAAUCUUUGAUCACGUUGACCACAUGGUGGGAUCUGAUCGGAUUUGGCGACGCAAACAACCUUUCUACGAUUCUUUUUGCGCGCUCAUUGUUCUCCAGCUAGCGACAAAAAUCUACGUUCCCGUUGAAAAAGGGAGCCCGUUGUCGGGCGCGUCUGGAAUUCUCCGUUUUUAUGGACGGACGGGAAAUAUCCUUCGGGAGACGCGGACAUGACGUACCGUUUCGUGCGAGCAAAAGUGCGCGACGAUAAAAGCGAGCUUUUUCAUACAAACAGAAUUAUGGUAUCUUUGAGGAGGGAAAAAGCUGAGUCUGAAGCUUCACGGAAACUGUUGAUGUCGGAAAAAUGAUUAAAAUCCUUUCCAAUACUUCUCGACGUUCGACACAGACUAAAUGUCAUGGAAUUAUUGACGCAAACUCCAGAAAGUGCAUUGAAACGAAGCUGAUACUCGGAUACUUGAAUGGAGCAAACUCCACAGCUGAUUCCAAGUGGAUUAAUAUCCUCACAUUAAUUUUCCGGCAGCAACUAAGUAGCGUUAGUAUAAUAAAUAAUAGACAAUAAAAGCUGUGCCGUAACGAAAUCCACAUCGACUUAAUGUUCCGAGUAAACGUGAUUAAAUACGCGGCGGCGCAGGAAAAUUACGUGCACAAUCGUUAAACGCGAAAAGCAAACUCUCGAUGGGCAACCCAAUUCGCGAAGCACCUGUUAACGUCGUUCUUUCACCGACACUUUUAGCGCUUUUAAAAGGAAAUUGGACUCGAACAAAAGGCGCGUAUCGUAUUCGCAUUCGCCCCGGUUUUGUAUAAAGCGCGAACACAAACGAUACGGACAAAUUACGUAAUAUCCAGUACCUUGGCUACAUAAAAAAGGAAUGGGAAGCGGAGAUUGCAUUGUAGAAAUACAUGAUAAAAACGUAUAUACAUUCCGUGGCUUAAAUUCUCGCUCGACUCGAAAAAUAUACCAGCGCACACACAGCGGAAACAUAAAUUAUCGCAUAAGAAUCGGUGAUUUUCCAACAUGAAGUGCAAUAUUUCAUUUUAAAUAUUUAUAUAUGUCACGUUGUGAAAAGAAUAAUUUCAGUUUAAUAUUAAUCGCAGAAUAUUAAAUUGUUUUGUCCCUGUUUAAACCGGAAUAAUAAACGCAAGCUUUUUUUUGAAUCUCAGAGACUUGCCUUUCAUCUCUUUUUCCUCGAAACUCUAACCGAUCAUUGUACAUCCGACUCAAAAAGAACAACAGUCGUAAAGCAGCGAUGGCACAGUUAAGUUAUUCAAAGGAUAAGUCAGGUUUACAUAGUAAUGCAAGCAUCGAGAUAUCCGAGGUACAAAACCUCGUCAGUGAAUUGCUAAAAAACAUCUCAUUUGUCUUCGACAUUCAUUAGGCAAAUGGAACGAAGCAAAGCUACGCUUUGAAAUACAGUAAAUAGUUAUUAAAGAAAUUACGUCAUAAAGAUAAUUAUAUUCCUGGUGGUUCGUCGUAUUGUGCAGCUUCCAGCUACCGUCUCUGGUGGCUUUUUAAUUAAAGAAAUAAACUCCUCGAAAAUCAAUUGCCUAAUUGGACUACAUUUAUAUUCCGAACGGUCUCAAGAGCAAUUAACGAAAUUAUUGGAUAAUCAUAGAACAUGUAUUUUUCCUAGAUAUUAAAAUUAAAAUUACGCAAUCUUUAUUCAUACGAUAAUUAAUUUGAUAUGACGUUAAUGUGAUUUAAUAACGAUUUUAUCAUUAUAAUUAUGCCAGGAAUGAGUAAUUAUUAUAUAAGUAUUAAUCCCGUUUAAAAACGCAAAGUUGACGCAUUUUUCAGAGUUUAAGUUUUGAGUUAUGAUUGUAUACUUUAAUUUUUAUUCAACAUCAGUUGAAUAAUGCAAACAUUUGCCAUUAAACCUCGAUCGCAUAACUAUAAAACUAUAAAAAUUCUGUAUAGUUCGCGAUUGCUAAUUUUUGGUCUGAUGAAUCUUUUAGCCAUUUUAAGUCGAAAUUUUGUGAUCUUCCUGAAUUUCUCGUGUUACGUAUGUUUCACAGUUUACUGGCACUAAUAAUUUAUUAAAACUUUUUUAUACAAAUGAUUUCAUUACCAUAGAUAUAUUUUUCUUAUAUAUGACUAUCAUACAUAUAUGUAUGAUUGAAAUGAAAGUCUGGCGCAAAUUGCUCAAGUCAAUACGUUUUUCGAUCUAUCUUUUUACUCCAACAUUUCAUGCAUCUGCGUUUGUCAAUUGUAGAAAAUUGCGUGAAUAAAAUGAAAUAACCAUCAAGUGAAAUCAUUCGUAGCUUCUUGAUCACGUAAAAACAUAGACGCGUUUGCUGUUUUCCCUUCGUGCAUGAUUCCAUCCGCAAAAACGUUGGUCGUGACGAAUUUCGCGGUAUUUUAUUCGGCAUGCGUUCGUAUUUAAUCGUCAAUUUGCACGAGAACGUUACAUAAAUAUCGCUGGAUAUGCGUUUACUUAGGGCGACUGGGUCGUCACUUACCAUUGCUUACAACGACGAACGGUCGAUAUUAGCAUUUCAGAUGUGGCUAAGUACGCGCGACACAACCUACGAACUACGCCGAAAGCGAUACUCCCGUGACAAACGUUUAAUUCAAGUAGAUAGUAUGCGAAAUCGGAAGGUUAUUAACAAUUAUAUUAGCAACAUUAGCAUCUUACUGAAUAAACAUACAAAGUGCAUAAGGUGGAAAGCAUCGAAAUCACACUAAUGAUUCUUAACUGCGCUCAACGCAGAUUUUUAUUGCCUGUUUUGCGUUCGAUAUUAAUUUAGUUUAUCAAGAAUAAUUAGAGAAUUUCUGUCACUAGUCUAUACACUUCCAAUAUUGUAUAAUUUGCGUUUUAUAUAAUUCGAUGAUUAAAAUCUCGUUAAGAGAAAGUCGGAUACGCGAGCAAAACAGAAUGAUGUAAUAAAUGUUAAUAUCGCAAAAGAGGAUAGUUUAAUUGAUUCGAAUUUAACUUUUCUACGUAAAAGAUGAAAUUGCUGGUCUAAUUAAAAAGAGUUAUUUAACGUCCAAAAUUAAAUCGUAUUACUCAUAUCGCAUAAUGAACAAAUUAAAUUUCCGAAUAGCUGAUGAAAACCCUUCAACUCUCUCAAUUUCAUACGAACUUUACUUGAUAAAUAGAAUUUUUUUUCCAAUUAUCGAGCACAUUGAAAUUGCGAAUAAUGCAAUUGGAUAAAAUGUUAAUUCAAUAAUGUUUCUCACAUUGUUGACGAUAUUUUAUGACAUAUCUGAUAUACAUCCUCUGUACAAUUAUAUAUAACUAUCGUUUUUCAUACAACGUAAUAUCAAGUAUGAUUAAAGUGCUUUCCCAGAAUUUAUAUUUUAACUGCGCUUCAUUCGGUUAAACACUGGUUAAAAUAUCAAUCACGUACUUUGAUACAUAAUCCAUUAUUUGUCUUGAUUGUUUUUGGACAUAAAAUCCAUAUCGACACGUUAAUUAAGAUAACAUUGUUACGUUAUUUAUAUAACAUCUGAAAUUUUUCACGAGAUAAAAAUUCUUUCUUAUAGAUAUACGUCACCAAAACACACCGAGAGUCCGUUUAUAGUUGCUGGUUGACCCAGAAAAACAAAUCUCACGGUGUAACGCAAAAUCAGAGCACGCGUUUUCGUUUUCACGCUUUUAUUUUAGCAUACGAUCACAUCUAGUAACCAGUAUAAUUUCUCAUCGUAGAUAAUGUCGCGCGUAUACAACUAUUCAACAUAUCAUGUAUAAACAUCCAGACAUGAUGCCCUUGCGCAACUAAAAAAAGUAAAAGGUUGCAUAAAGCCAAUAACCGCUAUAAUUUGAUACGAUAAUGAGCUAUUUAUCAUGAUAAUCCAUAUAUAAUGCAAUUAAUGACAAAUUAAUAUGGAUAUUGACAUCUUUAGCUAAUCAAAUUAUAUUUCUUCAUACAAUCAACGAUCGAUUUAUUCUAUAAUUUUGCAAUUAAGUAAUAAACAACAAAAAUUAUCAGCAAUUUAACACAAUGCGUGAGCAAAAUCAAUUGUAACAUUUAAGACGCAUGAGAUUCGAGCAAA
Molecule: long non-coding RNA, 8765 nt
Organism: Ooceraea biroi (clonal raider ant)
Lineage: Eukaryota; Metazoa; Arthropoda; Insecta; Hymenoptera; Formicidae
Source: RefSeq, a predicted model, not a curated record